Molecule: unclassified non-coding RNA, 560 nt
Filed under: Hevea brasiliensis (rubber tree)
Lineage: Eukaryota; Viridiplantae; Streptophyta; Magnoliopsida; Malpighiales; Euphorbiaceae
Source: RNAcentral
GGUUUCCCUUCCCUACCCUCCCCUCCCCGAGUUUAGUUGCCUAUAGUUUUGGGUUUGAUUGUUUUGUUUUGCAGAUCUUAAAGUUUUAAUGGUGUUUUGGAGAAGAUCUGUUAAAGGAAGCUGUGGUUUGAAGUCUGCUGGGCUGCUUCCUUGGUUUAUGUUAAGGUCCUCGGCUUGGUGGAAUGCAUCCGUCUCUGGGAGAGGUCAAGGGAAGGGGCCUCGGGGAUCUGAAGAGCUGGUCUUUUCUAACGUUUUUGCUGGCUGCCUAUGUCAAGAUGAGAUGGAGAAACUAUGGCCCUGCCUCCCUUCUAGUCACUAUGGCUAUGGCUGGUAUGGCCUUGUCUUUUGGCUUUAGCAGAAGGUCUUCCCUUUCUUGAUUUUCAGUGGAUUGCUCCAGUCCGGUUCCCAACGACGAUGUUGUGCAAGUUGCUUCCUGAGGUGUUCUGCUUAAGAGAAUUAGGUAUAGGGAUUGGCCGGUAAGGGCUCAGGGCUUUCUUGUUGGACUUCUGUUUUGGGCUAGAACUUGUCUUUGAAUUCCAGGUGUUGAGUCUUGAUUUGUA